GUGAUGAAAUCCCCAGGGUGGUCCUCGGGUCCCACAGUGGGUGCUCAGGGAUGUAGGCUGUAGGGCUCCAGGCUCUGGGUUGAGGAAAAUUGGAAUUAAAUUUCAGUGAAGUAACCCUGAGCAAGUCAGCCUCUGUCCAUCAGGUUCUUUUGUUUGUAAAAUGGAGGUAGCCAUGAGGAUUGUUCUGAGAAUGAGUUAAAUGGAAAGAUAUGCUCAAGAUGCCAGCGCAAAGCCAGAGACUCAAGGUUCGCAGCUGGUUGGAGCAAACCUCAAUGUCAGUGUGAAUCUUCCACCAUGGGAUUCAAGCUGCCUUGGCUCUAAAGUAAGAUCACAGCUGCAGUGAGCUGACCCCAACUCAAGAUGGAACCAUCUUAGAACAAGCUCUUAGGAUAAAAAGCCGAAGCUCUCUAAUGUGUUCUGUGAUAAAGAAGACUAUGGAACUGACAGUCCAAACCGAGAAACUGGGGAGAGAGAGGAGGCAUUAUUGUCAACUCCAGGUCAUCCAACCUGUUUUAAGCUUUUUGUCAGCAAGAACCAGCCCUAUUUUGUUCAGCCCUGGAGCAGCCUCUCCACCAGGCACACAGCUUAGCACAAAGCAGGCCUCAGAUGCACGCUGGACAAAUGUGCUGGUAUCCUCUGCAUCCUUAUGGCCAGCAAAAAUCAAGAGGACUCAGGCGGGCAGAAAGCAACAGCUGGGAAGAAAGCACAUCUCACAUUUCCUUUUGGACCUGACUCUUGUCCCUCUUUGCUUAAGAUACCAGGGUUUGAGCCCCAGAAUUUCUGGAAAACUGGAGGCUCUACUGUUCCAUUCAACCCAGGCAUGAUCCAUCCAGAAACCCAGCGGAACUGAGCCGCGAGCUGGAUUCCAGCUCACAGAACACACCAAGAACUCUGGGGGUUCCCCCCAGAAAAAUCUGGGGGGCACUGCAGAGCUUCUGACACGGCUCUGGGGGAAAUCCCACACGGAUGGGCAGCUCCCUGCAUCUGGCACUGUGGAGAUGGGCGGGCAGCCAUGGAGGAUGGGGAGACUCAUCUUUCUAGACUUCUCCUGGGGACCGCAUUUCCUCCAGCCUCCAGGUCCAGACCAAAAUAGAAUGAGGUAAAUUCAGCCCCUUUCCUGCAGCACACUCAAGGAAUAAACAAGCACCACAAAUAC
Pan troglodytes (chimpanzee) is the source of this 1156-nucleotide long non-coding RNA. RefSeq lists it as uncharacterized. The record is from RefSeq and is a predicted model, not a curated record. The transcript is spliced from 4 exons. Lineage: Eukaryota; Metazoa; Chordata; Mammalia; Primates; Hominidae.